UGGUAAGAAGAAGAAGAAAGAAAUUUCUUCUUCAUUUAAAAAUGCUAACAUCAUCUCUAAAGGAUCUUAUAAAAUUAAAACUGCUAAUGUCGAAACUGAGAAAGAAAAGGAGUGUUAUUUUUGCAAAGAAACAGGUCACUUAAGAAAGAAUUGCAAUGGCUUCAAGAAUUGGCUUGUUAAGAAAGGGCUUCUCAAAAACAAGGGUGAUAAACAAUGAAGUCUACAAUGUCUAUGUGGGGAAUGGGAGCAAAGUUGCUGUCGAAUCCAUAGGAAGUGUCAAAUUAGUUCUUUCCUCUAGCUUUAUUUUAGAAUUAAGUCCAGUACUUUAUGUACCUUCCAUGCGAAGGAAUUUAAUUUCUGCAUCUAAGUUAGUUAAGUCCGGCUUUACAUUUGUGGGUGACAGUCAAAGUGUAAAGUUUUUCCAUUCAAAUGACUCGAAUAAAUUGCUUGGUGAAGCUAAUCUCAAA
Molecule: long non-coding RNA, 467 nt
Organism: Pyrus x bretschneideri (Chinese white pear)
Lineage: Eukaryota; Viridiplantae; Streptophyta; Magnoliopsida; Rosales; Rosaceae
Exons: 2
Source: RefSeq, a predicted model, not a curated record